CACCAUCCGUCGGUACUACUGAUUGAAUGGUUUAGUGAAGUCGUUGGAUUGGUGUAGUUGUAGUGACUUUGCCGCUCGACUAAUGUUGAGAAGAUGACCUAAUUUGACUAUUUAGAAGAAGUAAAAGUCGUAACAACGUUUUCGUAGGUGAACCUGAGGGAA
RNAcentral lists this non-coding RNA (162 nucleotides) under Schistosoma haematobium. RNAcentral's name for it is "Eukaryotic small subunit ribosomal RNA". It matches the Rfam family "Eukaryotic small subunit ribosomal RNA", at positions 1667 to 1823 of the family's 1831-position model. Lineage: Eukaryota; Metazoa; Platyhelminthes; Trematoda; Strigeidida; Schistosomatidae. The record is from Rfam by way of RNAcentral.